Cercocebus atys (sooty mangabey) is the source of this 1452-nucleotide long non-coding RNA. RefSeq lists it as uncharacterized. The record is from RefSeq and is a predicted model, not a curated record. The transcript has 4 exons. NCBI's taxonomy places the organism in Eukaryota, Metazoa, Chordata, Mammalia, Primates, Cercopithecidae.
UGGAGCAGCUGUAACUUUUCAUGGGCUCCAAAGUUCAGUGAGGAGCGGCAACAUUCCCGGACAACUCCCGUGUAUUAAUUACACGUAUAUUUAAAUUCUAAUUGCACCCCAAAUCCAGACUUCCUGGUGCCAGACAACUUGUUCAUUCCUCAGUCAAGUCCACUUUCUCAUGCUUACUCUAUGAAAAGGGCACCCAUGAUAGGGUCGGGGUCCCCCCUCUAGAAUGCAGACCUCCUUAUUUGAGAACAGAGAUCUCCCCAGGCUGCCCUCUUGGAAGGACAGAGGGCAGAAGCCUUACUGAGCCAAAGAUCCUGGUAUCUGGAGAAGGGCAAGUGCGGCAUUCCAUUUUGAGAGGGGACAGGUGCAGAUAUCCCUGGUUUGGUCAGCUGAACUUGAAGACCAGUGCCAAGAGUAACUCACUCACCGCUGGUCACUCAGUGACCCAGGUUCCAAGCAAGUCUCUCACAAAGCUUUAAUGAGUACAUGCCCCUGGAGUAAAGUAAUGAAGACAAUACUGAGUGCUGUACAGUCAUGCCUCACUUAACGACAGGGAUAUGAUCUGAAAAACACAUCUUUAGGCAAUUUUGCCAUUGUGGGGACAUCACAGAGUAGUAUAUUUUCAUAAACCUAGAUGAUAUGGUCUACUACACACUUAGGCUAUAUGGUCUAGCCUAUUGUUCCUAGGCUCCAAACCGGCACAGCAUAUUACUACACUGAAUGCUGUAGGCAAUGGUAACAUAAUGAAUACCUGCCAGACUCUCGUGGAAUGCUUCGAACCUAUCAUCAGAUGGAGUGCUAGUGGCACCUGGGAGAAGUGGGUGAGCACCAGGUGUGGCUGAAGCCUGCAGAGCUCCUGUGGGAUCAGUGAGUGGAAGCACCUGUUCCCACGUUAAUGAAGCGUUUGCUCAAAGCAUUAGUCUCUCUGCCACUGGAUAUUUUAGUUGGUCUAUGGAGAAUCAACCCAAGAGUCCUGCAUCUAGCAUAAGAAAAAAAGAGAGAAACAGUGCCCCAUUAGGCCAAUGUGUCAAUGGUAGGAUCAGACAUAGACCCCAAAGGAAGUGAGUCUUGGGUGAAAGCCAAGGCCAUAAGGACCACCCAAUGCCAACCCUGAGUUCUGAACUUUAUUUUUACUGAGAAAAGUGAAAUUUCCUCACAGCAAUAGGCAAAAAUGGAAAGCUAUCCUGGCACAUAAGUAUAGAAUGCCACCAGAGACAAGCAGCUGGCAGAAAAAGCCAGGCCGCCAGCAACAGAGACAAAGAACUGUGAGCUUGAGAGGCUAUGGCAGAUGACGAGGGAUGGACAGUGAGGGAGAAAGAGACUCAGAUGCAACAGAGGCUUGGUGGCUAGUCUUGGGACCCAACCAGGGCUUAUUGUAAAAUAAGCACUUGGUAACUUUUUAUAUCUUUCCCUUGGCAACCAGGAAACUCAAAGUUAAAUUUUAUGCUUCAUUUA